CGCCGAACCCGAAGCUGUCGGAGGUGCACUUGUCGGCGGGGGAACCGCCGCCAUCGGAACCGCCGCUAUGCCCUCACCCUUGGCCGCUACCGGCGUGCGUGCCGAAGGUGCGGGCGGAUCGCGAUCUCCUGCCGCCGUCGCGGCCGCCGCCGCUGCCGCUUGCCGCUCCACAACUUCCUGGAGUUGCUCGAACCGAGCCUCCUGGCGCUGCAUCGCGCCCAACAUUGCAGCGACCUGCUCCCGCAGCUCCUACACUUCCUCCGAUCUUAGCUGCUCGGGCU
This 281-nucleotide long non-coding RNA is filed under the name Ananas comosus (pineapple). RNAcentral describes it as "long non-coding RNA (ACOM_LNC026722)". Lineage: Eukaryota; Viridiplantae; Streptophyta; Magnoliopsida; Poales; Bromeliaceae. The record is from RNAcentral.